GGUUGUCUAGCGGUCUAGCAACUCGAGGUAACCGCCCUAAAGCGGCAGAAGCAAAGAGAAAGAAGCGCCUGCUUGUGCGCGGUCCCCGACGCGACAUGCUAACCGCGAACGGCGGCCGGCAUGCGCUCGUUCUGGGAUCAGGAACACUCCUAUACGCAAUCCCCGAACAUCGAGUCAACCAAUCUCGCGCGCGAACUAUUCGCACUCCAGCCUUCAAGUUCAGAAGGGUCCGGGUGGUGAAAGUAGCUCACAUCCGUAAGCAGAAGACCAAUGCCCCGGUAUCGAGUCGACCCUCUCGCGCACGAAACGUUCGUACUCCAGCAGCCAAGCUAGGGCAGACCGAGGUGGUCUACCAAACUAACGGCCGCGUCGAACAUGCAUCCAAGACGUGGAUUUAGCAGGCGCUUUGUAGUGAAGCGUGGGUGAUCAGGCCUACCUGUCACUCCAACGCACUAAAGACUGUAGCAUUUCUCCUCUAGCUAGGCUCAACCUAGCACGUCGUUUAGCAACGCGCUCGGAAGUAAUAGAGGCCCAGUAAAGCCGCGAGCGAAAGUUGGCACUCCAACCGGCGCUCAACAUUUACUAGGAAAAUCGCUUCGAACUGGCGGAGCGAUAGCCUUGCUAGAAUGCUUCGUUCGACCAGAAAGAUCAGUUACAGGCCGACGCUGUUAGCGCAAGUAGCUCCUGCGCACGGAAGUUACCGUCAACGCGUCUGUUGUAAGACGGCUCACACACCUGUAACUAUUACUCUCG
RNAcentral lists this ribosomal RNA (753 nucleotides) under Bradyrhizobium sp. RNAcentral's name for it is "bacterial LSU rRNA". The record is from RNAcentral. Lineage: Bacteria; Pseudomonadati; Pseudomonadota; Alphaproteobacteria; Hyphomicrobiales; Nitrobacteraceae.